UCACACUUUGCAGAGCCACGUAUAGUAGGCUCUGACUAUAGUUGCUCUUUAGUAAUUCUCUGGUAUAUUGAACUCCACCACGUCUCCAGGAUUCUCCACUUGGAUCAGGAUACAGGAGAUAAAAUAACUCCAAUAAAGAGUGGGGAUACUUGUUCAAAAUUUAAUAAUAUUAACAAAUAUACAGGGACAUAUAUAAAGUGCAUAAAACAAAAUAGCAGCACUAAAUGUAC
Non-coding RNA from Pelobates cultripes (western spadefoot toad), 230 nucleotides. The record is from the annotation of a GenBank genome assembly. NCBI's taxonomy places the organism in Eukaryota, Metazoa, Chordata, Amphibia, Anura, Pelobatidae.